AUGAAUGAAUGAAUGAGUGUCAACAUGAAGAAUUACAUGUCCAGGCUCAACAACUUCUACAAAGUGGACUUUGGGAUUAAACAGAAGAUCCGACUUUGACUACGUUUACCUGGAGAAGGACUGAGCACGUGUGCUUCACUUUACCAACACAAGAAAAGGAUGUGGAGUUUAACACCUGUGAUGGAGGGGUGGCGGACCAUCUGUUGAAGAAUGACUCAGUGGACUCAUGCAGACCAACCACUACAGCGGUGACAUUUUUAGGUCAGCCCUCGCUCACUUUCAUCAUCAUGGCGGCGCCGCGAUGCCUUCACGUGCAAGGUGAAGUCGAAUUUCCCCUCAAGGGGGGAAGUGAUCUCCCGCCAUGUUCCCACACACACUUCUCACCCGGCUGCUGUUUGAAGAGGGCGAGACUGGAGUUGGAGUCGACAGCUGUCACACACACA
Non-coding RNA from Nerophis lumbriciformis (worm pipefish), 443 nucleotides. Lineage: Eukaryota; Metazoa; Chordata; Actinopteri; Syngnathiformes; Syngnathidae. The record is from RefSeq and is a predicted model, not a curated record.